UCUUCUCCUUCCUUCAUUUCUUCUCCUCCUCCUCUCGCGACGGAAGAAAAGGAGGAGGGCUUGGGAGAGGCCGAGCAGCACCCCCCCUAGGCCGGCCGGCGGCUCCCGGCUGGGCCUGCGGCACACGCAGCCGCGCUUGCGUCCGUGCGGGCGGCGGUGGCGGGUGGCCUACGGCCGCGCGGGUGGUUCGCAACCCGUGGCCGCGGCGGGUGGCCUGCGGCCGUGGCCGGCACCCGCGAUCGGCGAUCCCAGGGGAUCGUUCGUCUCCUACUCCGGCGACGCGGCCCUCUGCUCCGGCGGCGUGGGUCUAACACCGGAUCCUGCGAACCGUGAAGGUUUGUGAGAGAGAGACAGUGGAGAAGAGGGAAGAGGAU
This is a non-coding RNA of Phoenix dactylifera (date palm), 374 nucleotides long. Lineage: Eukaryota; Viridiplantae; Streptophyta; Magnoliopsida; Arecales; Arecaceae. The record is from RefSeq and is a predicted model, not a curated record.